RNAcentral lists this ribosomal RNA (253 nucleotides) under uncultured bacterium. RNAcentral's name for it is "partial 16S ribosomal RNA". It matches the Rfam family "Bacterial small subunit ribosomal RNA", at positions 524 to 776 of the family's 1533-position model. The record is from RNAcentral.
UACGUAGGGGGCAAGCGUUAAUCGGAAUUACUGGGCGUAAAGCGUGCGCAGGCGGUUUUGUAAGUCUGUCGUGAAAUCCCCGGGCUCAACCUGGGAACUGCAUCUGUGACUGCAUAGCUAGAGUACGGUAGAGGGGGAUGGAAUUCCGCGUGUAGCAGUGAAAUGCGUAGAUAUGCGGAGGAACACCGAUGGCGAAGGCAAUCCCCUGGACCUGUACUGACGCUCAUGCACGAAAGCGUGGGGAGCAAACAGG